This 299-nucleotide signal recognition particle RNA is filed under the name Cebus imitator (Panamanian white-faced capuchin). RNAcentral's name for it is "Metazoan signal recognition particle RNA (ENSCCAG00000013674.1)". It matches the Rfam family "Metazoan signal recognition particle RNA". From Rfam's summary of the family: The signal recognition particle (SRP) is a universally conserved ribonucleoprotein. The record is from RNAcentral. Lineage: Eukaryota; Metazoa; Chordata; Mammalia; Primates; Cebidae.
GCUGGGUGCAGUGGCGCGUGCCUGUAGUCCCAGCUACUCGGGAGGCUGAGGCUAGAGGAUCUCUUGAGCCCAGGAGUUCUGGGCUGUAGUGUGCUAUGCCAAUCCGCUGUCCGCACUAAGUUUGGCAUCAAUAUGGUGACCUCCCGGGAGCGGGGGACCACCAGGUUGCCUAAGGAGGGGUGAACCGGCCCAGGUCAGAAACGGAGCAGGUCAAAACUCCCGUGCUGAUCAGUAGUGGGAUCGAGCCUGUGAAUAGGCACUGCACUCCAGCCUGGGCAACAUAGUGAGACCUCGUCUCU